Molecule: ribosomal RNA, 495 nt
Filed under: uncultured bacterium
Lineage: Bacteria
Description: bacterial SSU rRNA
Rfam family: Bacterial small subunit ribosomal RNA
Source: RNAcentral
GGCUCAGGAUGAACGCUAGCGGCAGGCUUAACACAUGCAAGUCGAGGGGCAGCAUGAAGGUUAGCAAUAACCUUUGAUGGCGACCGGCGCAAGGGUGCGUAACGCGUGAGCAACUUGCCCGUUCAGGGGGAUAACCGGUGGAAACGCCGACUAAUACCCCAUGGCAUCAUUGGGAGGCAUCUCCUUCAUGAUUAAAGAAUUUCGGAAACGGAUAGGCUCGCGUGACAUUAGCUAGAUGGCGGGGUAACGGCCCACCAUGGCGACGAUGUCUAGGGGUUCUGAGAGGAAGGUCCCCCACACUGGAACUGAGACACGGUCCAGACUCCUACGGGAGGCAGCAGUGAGGAAUAUUGGUCAAUGGCCGGGAGGCUGAACCAGCCAUGCCGCGUGAAGGUCACGGCCCUAUGGGUCUUAAACUUCUUUUGUAAGGGAGCAAUAAGGAUCACGUGUGGUCCGAUGAGAGUACCUUACGAAUAAGCAUCGGCUAACUCCGUG